UACAUAGGGUGCGAGCGUUAAUCGGAAUUCCUGGGCGUAAAGCGUGCGCAGGCGGUUUUGUAAGCCCGAUGUGAAAUCCCCGGGCUCAACCUGGGAAUGGCAUUUGGGACUGCAAGGCUUGAGUGCGGCAGAGGAGACUGGAAUUCCUGGUGUAGCAGUGAAAUGCGUAGAUAUCAGGAGGAAUACCGAUGGCGAAGGCAGGUCUCUGGGCUGACACUGACGCUCAUGCACGAAAGCGUGGGGAGCAAACAGG
RNAcentral lists this ribosomal RNA (253 nucleotides) under uncultured bacterium. RNAcentral's name for it is "partial 16S ribosomal RNA". It matches the Rfam family "Bacterial small subunit ribosomal RNA", at positions 524 to 776 of the family's 1533-position model. The record is from RNAcentral.